This 26-nucleotide small RNA is filed under the name Bombyx mori (domestic silkworm). Its description in RNAcentral is "ovarian small RNA-17836". The record is from RNAcentral. Lineage: Eukaryota; Metazoa; Arthropoda; Insecta; Lepidoptera; Bombycidae.
GUGACCGAAAACCAUCGCAGUUCCUG